CCCAUCGCAGUCGGGUUGUUACAGGACUCCCAAAAUUUCACAGCUGGAUAUUGUCUGGAGCUCCCACUGCCAUUGCAAGUCUCUAAAGCCAACUCUGAGCUCACCGCCCCAGGCCCCUUUCUCCUGGGUUCUGAUUUCCUAAGGGGAUGCCAACAUCUACUGAGCUCACACAGUUGAGAUCGCCCUUGACCUCACUUUCUCCUUCAUUCCUCACAAUCAGUCCUUUCCCUAAAAUCUACCUUUAAAGUUCUCUUAAAUUUUCUUGCCUCCAUCCUCUUAUGUAUCUCCUACUCAUCCUCCUUUCAGGCCUGACUAAAGCUUUGCUUUCUUUCCCAUAAGAGUACUUUCGUGUCUACACAGCUUGCAUACAUUUUUAACACUGGGCUGACCACACCAGGGUUGAUGCCUUAUGAGAGUCACUGGGAUGAAUUUAGAGCUCACUGUGGCACUUGGCACAGGCAAGACACCACUGUGUGUUGCUUCAAUGACUAUCCCUAUUUGUCACUACUCUGGUGCGUAACCUUACUAGCUUUCAAUUUGCAGCAGCCUCCCAGCUCAUCUUUUGGUCUCCUGUUUCUCUGCAACGCAUCUUUCACAUUUCACACAGAGUAUUUCUUUUGUGCAAAAUUAAUCCGGUAUCCCCUUCAGUGAUUUUCCAUGUGGAAGAUGUAGAAGACAUAGAGAGAGACCUGCAAGAAAACCAUGAUUGGUGCCUCUGCUCAAUGUGGGAGAGGAAGAGUUAACAUGAUGACAGACGGCAUUUUUUACCUUCAGUCAAUAUGAACAAGGCCCCAAGACUAUGAUUCCAAACAUCUGGAUUUCAUCAAUAUGUGAUCUGUCAUCGUAUAUUGGCAUUCCCCAGUCCCCGCGCCAGAGCAAUGCGGCUGGUUUUAUUAAUACGUCAAAUACAUUAUCCGUGUAAUACACUUGUCUGGCUGGGGCCUCCCGCUGGGGCGGGGCAGCGGAUUUGAAUGUAUGAUGAAUCAGUUUGCAUUACAUGUUCGUAAGUCAUCAUUUGUCAGGAUUAAUAGGCAUCCCUGGUCGAGGAGGUGGGGGUAGGGCAGGCAGGGAGAGAUGUAUAUUUAGCUGUGGCCCAUACUUAUCUGCUAGUGCCUAGGGAUCCUCAGAAAACAGCUGUGUACCCUCUUGUCCAGACCCCAGGUUAGCAGCUAGUGCAUAAGGGACAGAGGUGACAUUUCCAGCAGUUUUAGGGUCACUUGAAACCAAAUAGACCUAUUUGUCUCUGCUUCAGGGUUGCCAAACAGCCAAAGAGGAUAUGGGUGCGUGGGUGGGGGGGCAUUUGCACAAGCUGGCUAAUUCCUUCUUACCCUUUAGAACUCACUCUAGAAUUUCUUCUUCCAGGGAGCUUCCCUUAACUCCCUCAGACUGAAUUAGGUGCCUCCUCUGUGUUCCCACAGCCUCCUGUGCUGUGUCUUUUGCAGUCCUCCUAACACAGUGUUGUUAUCAUCUGCUGUGUGUCUAGCACCUUUAGAGCAUACAUUUCUGGACAGCAAAAUUAACUUGCUCAUGAUAUAGUCCCAGCAUCUAACAGAGGGCCCAAAGUAAGAAGAAAGUAAUAGCAAUAGGAGAAAUCAAUAGAUAGUCCUUGAAUUGAGAGAUAACUGUUGCCCUUGCCAAACUGCCAGACAUUACCCUGCAGACAUUGCCCUGGAGAGUGGGAGACUUUCUUGACUCUGGUCUAGUCUGGUCACUUAUUCUGAGGUAUACACUUUGCUUUCCUGACUUUUCUUCCUUUCAUAAGGCUUGUGUAGACCCUUCACACAGUAUCAGUUUCCUUGCAGGUGACAUACAUACACAGAUCAAGCAUACAGGAGUGACAGUUCAUACUCACAUGUCCUUGCCGUCUUCCUUCCCCCUCUGUUCUGCCCAUAGAAUCUCCAAUAUCAGUUCCACGUGACCUCCUGUCAACUCCAGGAACAAGCCUCUGUUUGGUCUCUGCACUUCUCUUGUGAUAGAUACUAUUUCCUGUCUCUGGCAACAGAGGGGGGCCUGAACCAACUGAGCCAGAUGUGGCUUCACCUGCAGGGUAGCCAGGGAGUGAUUAGCUUAUAGACAGGUUUAGGCUCAAAAUGGAGCCAAAAGUUGUGGGCCAAGGCACAACCAAGCUCACUAAGUCCUGAUCAUGGAACCUGGACCCUUGGACCCACAAGCCUUUGCUACCUCCAGUGCACCAGCCAACCUGUUCAGAACUGCUGGGGUCUCAGGGUCCACAGCCAUUCUACACCUCUGCCUUUGGCUGUUCUAAACAUAACUGUAGUCUCUCUCUUCUUGUGGAGUUACAAUUCAUUCCGCUCCUCCUUGAGUCAAUAACUUCCUGGCAGCUCCCUGUGCUAGGCAGGGCUGGGUGAGUUUGUGGGUUGGCAGGUGGGGCCUUCCAGUGUGUCCAGGAUUAGGGGCUUCAAAGUUCAGUAAAGGAGCCCAUUCAAGAAAAUACUCAUAUGUGGACAAGCACAUUAUCAUCUCAAUGUCUGUAUCCACACAGAUGCUCACAUUGGCUAGAUGCACAUACCUAAGCACUUACGCAUGUUUUCAAGUGUAGCUGAGUUUACCUGAGCAUAUUCUCGCCAGUGUGCCACCCACUCCCCUCUCCCCCAAUGCUUCCUUGUCAUGGAGCCAAAAUGCUAAGACUGUACUGUUUAAAGUAAAAUUACUUUAAGUGUGCUUUACCCCCUGCUGGCUCUGACUGUGGACUUAUAAAAAUGAAGUGGGAACCUCCACAGCUGUAGGCAAUAAAUCCUGAAUGGCCGAGGA
This is a long non-coding RNA of Cavia porcellus (domestic guinea pig), 2772 nucleotides long. RefSeq lists it as uncharacterized. The record is from RefSeq and is a predicted model, not a curated record. The transcript is spliced from 2 exons. Lineage: Eukaryota; Metazoa; Chordata; Mammalia; Rodentia; Caviidae.